RNAcentral lists this ribosomal RNA (395 nucleotides) under uncultured bacterium. RNAcentral describes it as "bacterial SSU rRNA". It matches the Rfam family "Bacterial small subunit ribosomal RNA", at positions 368 to 758 of the family's 1533-position model. The record is from RNAcentral.
UCUGCGGGGGGCACCCUGACCGCAAUGCCGCGUGAGUGAAGAAGGCCUUCGGGUUGUAAAGCUCUUUUGUCAGGGAAGAAACACCGGCUCUAACACAGUCCGGGAAUGACGGUACCUGAAGAAUAAGCACCGGCUAACUACGUGCCAGCAGCCGCGGUAAUACGUAGGGUGCAAGCGUUAAUCUGAAUUACUGGGCGUAAAGCGUGCGCAGGCGGUUAUACAAGACAGGCGUGAAAUCCCCGGGCAUAACCUGGGAAUGGCGCCUGUGACUGUAUAGCUAGAGUGUGUCAGAGGGGGGUAGAAUUCCACGUGUGGGAGUAAAAUGGGUAGAUAUGUGGAGGAAAACAAAUGGCGAAGGCAGCCCCCUGGGAUAACACUGACGCUCAUGCACCAAA